Long non-coding RNA from Leguminivora glycinivorella, 1152 nucleotides. RefSeq lists it as uncharacterized. The transcript has 5 exons. The record is from RefSeq and is a predicted model, not a curated record. NCBI's taxonomy places the organism in Eukaryota, Metazoa, Arthropoda, Insecta, Lepidoptera, Tortricidae.
GAAUAUACCGGCUCUGCUCAACGGAUUUUGAUUUGCUCGUUAGAUUCGUUUGUCGUAACAAUGGUUAUAAGUGCUGUGUGUUGUGUACUUAAUUGCGGUAAAACGCGAUUAGAUAAUAUGAUUCUUCACCAAUGACCCAAUCCAAUUAUUGAGCCUGACUGGUUUCUUCUUCUAAUGGCAGUGAUGUGUUAGCAAUGGAAAACUGUGUCAUACUCACUUUAAGAAAAAAUAUAAUACUUCAAGCGGAAGGCUCCGUUUUACCCAUUUCUCUAUUGAGGUCUUGGGGUAUGGAAUUGAUAAGCAAACCACAUUGCUGCAAUUUCCAAUCAAUGUUCAAGAACCAAUGCAAGAUGAUCAAGUACCCAGAGCCCCUUUGAGGAACAUCACCAAUCAGUACCCCCACGGCGGCUACUAAUCUCAGAUCUCAGCCGUCAGCUUCAGGAAUUGAUAAGCAAGCAAACCGCAUCGCUGCAAUUUGCUAGCAAUAUUCAAGAACCGAUGCAAGAUGAUCAAAUACCCAGAGCCCCUUUGAGGAACAUCACUGAUGUCAGUUCUCAGCCGUCAACUUCAGGUCACGCGCCACGACACAUACCCCGAUUUUUCACGGAAGCUAGCAGUUUGGCCAAACAAAUAAAAAACCUUACUGAGACAAAAGAAAAAUAUUCUGUAAGAUUAAAAAAAAGCUUAUGUGUCUAUCCACAAACACAUCUUUUCAAAAGGCUAUUAGGAGUUUCAUCGUUGAACAUCUUCUCUUCACCACACCCACACACACUCUCUCUCUCUCUUUCUUGAUUCUUUGAACUAAUAAGAAAGGUCCAUUUUAUUCAUAAGAGUGCAAAGUAAUUUGAUUCAAAUUUUAAAUUGAAGUUCUAAACUGCUGGUAGAAUGUACCUUUUAGUAAUGAUUUUGAAUUGGAAAUGUUUAUUUAAUUGUUGAAAUGUUUUUUUACAGUUCGUUUAUUGCUCGUGUUGGUGUGGUGAAAAUUGUCGGUAGGAAACACUGCGCUUGAAAUAAUUAAGACGCAUUAGGAGAAGUAAUUCUCUAAACGCUUUCGACUAGUUCUUUCCUGGUUUUUGAAGCUAAGUAGUAUCACCACCAAUUACGUAACUAUAAAACAUAUUUUAAAAUAAAUUAUUAAAAACUAUUCCCCUG